ACGGGUGAGUAAUGUCUGGGAAACUGCCUGAUGGAGGGGGAUAACUACUGGAAACGGUAGCUAAUACCGCAUAACGUCGCAAGACCAAAGAGGGGGACCUUCGGGCCUCUUGCCAUCAGAUGUGCCCAGAUGGGAUUAGCUAGUAGGUGGGGUAACGGCUCACCUAGGCGACGAUCCCUAGCUGGUCUGAGAGGAUGACCAGCCACACUGGAACUGAGACACGGUCCAGACUCCUACGGGAGGCAGCAGUGGGGAAUAUUGCACAAUGGGCGCAAGCCUGAUGCAGCCAUGCCGCGUGUAUGAAGAAGGCCUUCGGGUUGUAAAGUACUUUCAGCGGGGAGGAAGGCGAUGCGGUUAAUAACCGCGUCGAUUGACGUUACCCGCAGAAGAAGCACCGGCUAACUCCGUGCCAGCAGCCGCGGUAAUACGGAGGGUGCAAGCGUUAAUCGGAAUUACUGGGCGUAAAGCGCACGCAGGCGGUCUGUCAAGUCGGAUGUGAAAUCCCCGGGCUCAACCUGGGAACUGCAUCCGAAACUGGCAGGCUUGAGUCUCGUAGAGGGGGGUAGAAUUCCAGGUGUAGC
This 581-nucleotide ribosomal RNA is filed under the name uncultured bacterium. RNAcentral describes it as "bacterial SSU rRNA". It matches the Rfam family "Bacterial small subunit ribosomal RNA", at positions 102 to 679 of the family's 1533-position model. The record is from RNAcentral.